UCCUAAUGCUGCGACCUUUGAAU
Molecule: non-coding RNA, 23 nt
Filed under: Rattus norvegicus (Norway rat)
Lineage: Eukaryota; Metazoa; Chordata; Mammalia; Rodentia; Muridae
Source: RNAcentral